AGUUAGUGGCGGACGGGUGAGUAACACGUGGGAACGUGCCUUUAGGUUCGGAAUAACUCAGGGAAACUUGUGCUAAUACCGAAUGUGCCCUUCGGGGGAAAGAUUUAUCGCCUUUAGAGCGGCCCGCGUCUGAUUAGCUAGUUGGUGAGGUAAAGGCUCACCAAGGCGACGAUCAGUAGCUGGUCUGAGAGGAUGAUCAGCCACAUUGGGACUGAGACACGGCCCAAACUCCUACGGGAGGCAGCAGUGGGGAAUCUUGCGCAAUGGGCGAAAGCCUGACGCAGCCAUGCCGCGUGAAUGAUGAAGGUCUUAGGAUUGUAAAAUUCUUUCAGUAGGGACGAUAAUGACGGUACCUACAGAAGAAGCCCCGGCUAACUUCGUGCCAGCAGCCGCGGUAAUACGAAGGGGGCUAGCGUUGCUCGGAAUUACUGGGCGUAAAGGGAGCGUAGGCGGACAUUUAAGUCAGGGGUGAAAUCCCGGGGCUCAACCUCGGAAUUGCCUUUGAUACUGGGUGUCUUGAGUGUGAGAGAGGUAUGUGGAACUCCGAGUGUAGAGGUGAAAUUCGUAGAUAUUCGGAAGAACACCAGUGGCGAAGGCGACAUACUGGCUCAUUACUGACGCUGAGGCUCGAAAGCGUGGGGAGCAAACAGGAUUAGAUACCCUGGUAGUCCACGCCGUAAACGAUGAUUGCUAGUUGUCGGGAUGCAUGCAUUUCGGUGACGCAGCUAACGCAUUAAGCA
This 740-nucleotide ribosomal RNA is filed under the name Brevundimonas mediterranea. Its description in RNAcentral is "bacterial SSU rRNA". It matches the Rfam family "Bacterial small subunit ribosomal RNA", at positions 90 to 866 of the family's 1533-position model. Lineage: Bacteria; Pseudomonadati; Pseudomonadota; Alphaproteobacteria; Caulobacterales; Caulobacteraceae. The record is from RNAcentral.